CUGUAAGCAUCCAUUUGGCUAGAAGAGCUUCUAUGAGAGCCACAUCAAUAAUCAAAGGAAUGAUAAUAGGCCUGUGGAUUAAAAUUCUAGUUUCUUCAUGCUCUUUUACUCAAUCCAUUUUAACUGUAUCAGAAAUUAAAUAAGUGGAAAUCUUUGAGUGAACAUCAAAAGCCAAAACAUUUCUUUUAAGGACAUAAAUUAUGUUUAAUUUAGUGGAAUACCAGUCCAGGGAUUCAUAAGUGAAGCAUUUAUUCCUAUUUCUCAAA
This 266-nucleotide unclassified non-coding RNA is filed under the name Hevea brasiliensis (rubber tree). Lineage: Eukaryota; Viridiplantae; Streptophyta; Magnoliopsida; Malpighiales; Euphorbiaceae. The record is from RNAcentral.